RNAcentral lists this ribosomal RNA (278 nucleotides) under uncultured bacterium. Its description in RNAcentral is "partial 16S ribosomal RNA". It matches the Rfam family "Bacterial small subunit ribosomal RNA", at positions 335 to 600 of the family's 1533-position model. The record is from RNAcentral.
ACUCCUACGGGAGGCAGCAGUGGGAAUAUUGCACAAUGGGAAGGCCAUCGAUGCAGCCAUGCCGCGCUGUGUGAAGUAAGGCCAAUUCGGGCUUGUUAAGACACUUUCAGUAGGGAGGAAGGUAGUGUAGUUAACACCUGCACUAUUUGACGUUACCUACAGAAGAAGCACCGGCUAACUCCGUGCCAGCAGCCGCGGUAAUACGGAGGGUGCGAGCGUUAAUCGGAAUUACUGGGCGUAAAGCGCAUGCAGGCGGCCUGUUAAGUCAGAUGUGAAAG